UCCUACGGGAGGCAGCAGUGGGGAAUAUUGGACAAUGGGCGAAAGCCUAAUCCAGCCACGUCGCAUGAGUGAAGAAGGCCUUUGGGUUGUAAAGCUCUUUUAGUGAGGAAGAUAAUGACGGUACUCACAGAAGAAGUCCUGGCUAACUCCGUGCCAGCAGCCGCGGUAAUACAA
Molecule: ribosomal RNA, 174 nt
Filed under: uncultured bacterium
Lineage: Bacteria
Description: partial 16S ribosomal RNA
Rfam family: Bacterial small subunit ribosomal RNA
Source: RNAcentral